This is a non-coding RNA of Dallia pectoralis (Alaska blackfish), 72 nucleotides long. NCBI's taxonomy places the organism in Eukaryota, Metazoa, Chordata, Actinopteri, Esociformes, Umbridae. The record is from the annotation of a GenBank genome assembly.
GUUGGUGUAGCUCAGUGGUAGAGUGCAUGUUGUAUUUGCAUGAUGUCCUGUGUUCAAUCCCAAGCUUCAACC